This 482-nucleotide ribosomal RNA is filed under the name uncultured bacterium. Its description in RNAcentral is "bacterial SSU rRNA". It matches the Rfam family "Bacterial small subunit ribosomal RNA", at positions 28 to 494 of the family's 1533-position model. The record is from RNAcentral.
GAUGAACGCUAGCGGCAGGCUUAAUACAUGCAAGUCGAGGGGCAUCAAGGUACACGAAAGUGUAUUGUUGGCGACCGGCGGACGGGUGAGUAAUAGGUAGGUAACCUACCUCAUACUGAGGCAUAGCUGGGAGAAAUUCCAGGUAAUUCCUCAUGAGGUUAUAUGACACAUGUGAUAUAAUCAAAGGUAUCGCAAGGUACUGGUAUGAGAUGGGCUUACUGACCAUUAGCUAGUUGGUGAGAUAAGAGCUCACCAAGGCGAAGAUGGUUAGGGGUUUGAGAGAGAGAUCCCCCACAUUGGAACUGAGAUACGGUCCAGACUCCUACGGGAGGCAGCAGUAGGGAAUAUUGGGCAAUGGGCGGAAGCCUGACCCAGCCAUGCCGCGUGAAGGAAGACGGCCUUAUGGGUUGUAAACUUCUUUACUAUGCGACUAACUAGAUUUACGAGAUAAUUCUAUAGAAUGUAGCAUAGCAAAAAGCACC